Molecule: long non-coding RNA, 506 nt
Organism: Sphaerodactylus townsendi
Lineage: Eukaryota; Metazoa; Chordata; Lepidosauria; Squamata; Sphaerodactylidae
Exons: 3
Source: RefSeq, a predicted model, not a curated record
GGUUUGGGUUUGCCUGGAUGUGCAACGUGGCUUGCUGAGAGCAUGUAACUGUUCGGCAGAUAGCUGUAAAGAUCCUGAGACGUUUGGGCUGUUACAGUUUGAAGGACUUAAAACUGGAUAUAAUCCUUGAGACAAACUGAACAUCAGCCUUUCCUUUUUAAAGUUCUUCUGUGGUCCCAGGAUUCAGUGUGAUAGGAAUGCUCUCAUCAAUGAAAACAAUUGAAAUACAUAAGAGCAUCUAUGAAGUGAGAUGCUAAUAGCAACAGUGACAUGCAUGGAAGAACAAAAUAGACUGCAAUUCCCUUCUGUGGUGCCCUGUGUUAAAGGUUGAACACAGGUGUUGUGUGCAAGUCACAGAAGUGAAAGGAGAAUCACAACACACAAAGAACACAGCAAGUCAGAGUCCAGCUCAAAGUAUAAAAACACAAGCCCACCACUUUGUAACCAACUGCAGAGGGUGACCUCUGGGGCUGAAGAGGUGCUGUCUGCAGCUCUGGAGUACUGAG